AUCGCAGGCUGCAACCCGCCUGCGUGAAGUUGGAAUCGCUAGUAAUCGCGGAUCAGCAUGCCGCGGUGAAUACGUUCCCGGGCCUUGUACACACCGCCCGUCACACCAUGAGAGUCGGGAACACCCGAAGUCCGUAGUCUAACCGCAAGGGGGACGCGGCCGAAGGUGGGUUCGAUAAUUGGGGUGAAGUCGUAACAAGGUAAC
This 204-nucleotide ribosomal RNA is filed under the name uncultured bacterium. Its description in RNAcentral is "partial 16S ribosomal RNA". It matches the Rfam family "Bacterial small subunit ribosomal RNA", at positions 1297 to 1500 of the family's 1533-position model. The record is from RNAcentral.